GAUGAAGAACGUAGCGAAAUGCGAUAAGUAAUGUGAAUUGCAGAAUUCAGUGAAUCAUCGAAUCUUUGAACGCUCAUUGCGCCCCUUGGUAUUCCGAGGGGCAUGCCUGUUCGAGCGUCAUUAUAACCCCUCAAGCUUAGCUUGGUGUUGGGGCCUGCUGUAAUAGAGCAGCCCUUAAAAUCAGUGGCGGUGCCAUUAGGCUCUAAGCGUAGUAAUUCUUCUCGCUAUAGGGUUCUGGUGGAUGCUUGCCAUUAACCUCUAAUUUUCUAUGGUUGACCUCGGAUCAGGUAGGGAUACCCGCUGAACUUAAGCAUAUCAAUAAGCGGAGA
RNAcentral lists this unclassified non-coding RNA (329 nucleotides) under soil metagenome. RNAcentral's name for it is "partial contains 5.8S ribosomal RNA, internal transcribed spacer 2, and large subunit ribosomal RNA". The stretch from base 1 to 120 matches the Rfam family "5.8S ribosomal RNA", at positions 35 to 154 of the family's 154-position model. The record is from RNAcentral.